RNAcentral lists this ribosomal RNA (418 nucleotides) under uncultured eukaryote. RNAcentral's name for it is "bacterial SSU rRNA". It matches the Rfam family "Eukaryotic small subunit ribosomal RNA", at positions 4 to 416 of the family's 1831-position model. The record is from RNAcentral.
CUGGUUGAUCAAGCUUGAACUGAUGUGUUUAUUUCAAAGAUUAAGCCAUGCAUGUAUAAGUAGAAACGAUUUCGAUCGUGAAACCGCGAACGGCUCAUUACAACAGCUGUAAUUUACUUGAUCUUGACGCAUCCUACAUGGAUAACUGUGGUAAUUCUAGAGCUAAUACAUGCACCAAAGCUCUGCCCCCUCGGGGAAGAGUGCAUUUAUUAGAACAAAACCAGGCGGCCUUCGGGCCGUUCCUCGUUGACUCAAAAUAACUCAAACUGAUCGCAUGGUCCAGUACCGGCGACGUGUCUUUUAAGUGUCUGCCUUAUCAACUUUCGAUGGUAGUGUAUCUGACUACCAUGGUUGUGACGGGUAACGGAGGAUAAUGGUACCACUCCGGAGAAGGGGCCUGUAAAAUUGCCACUACUUC